Molecule: long non-coding RNA, 455 nt
Organism: Lemur catta (Ring-tailed lemur)
Lineage: Eukaryota; Metazoa; Chordata; Mammalia; Primates; Lemuridae
Exons: 3
Source: RefSeq, a predicted model, not a curated record
UAUUAAUUGUUUCAAAAUAUAUAUUUUAGCCUUGAAAUUGAAAAUUCAAAAUUAAAAGCAAGCAUCAAAAAGGCAAUGGACAACAUUGAGCAGUAUGAGAAGCAACUGUUAAGUGCAAGUUCAGCAGGACCAUCAUCUCAGAUGGAAACUCAGUGGAUCUCAGCGUUACAUAUGGGGAAUCUGAAGUCUCCACAAUAGAAACUUCUCAGGACGAUUUAGAUGAAACCACAUUUAGGAGACAUAAUCAACUCUAUUUGAAAGAAUAAAAAGGUAGAAAAUCCUCAUCCAGUGUACUAACUGCCUCUGAAUUUGCAUCUGGAUCCCAUAUAUCCUCUGCUGAUGAGCUCAGUGUAAAUCAAUACUUACUUUGAAAACCAUAUGAGAAUAUAUACCAAUUUUAUGGGAAAAAAUCUAUGAUCUAAAGAAUAAUAAAACAUUAUUACUGGGCUGUUUAC